Molecule: non-coding RNA, 45 nt
Filed under: Schistosoma haematobium
Lineage: Eukaryota; Metazoa; Platyhelminthes; Trematoda; Strigeidida; Schistosomatidae
Source: RNAcentral
AUCUAGCUGACGAGUCCCAAAUAGGACGGGACGCGCGCCCUGGAU